AGUAAAAUAUGAGUAUCACUUGUGGGCUGUUGCGAUUUGGUAUAGCGUGUGGUGAUGCUGUAUAGCGUGAGGCUAUUGCUUUGUUGGAACCAAUGGUUGAAUUCGAUCCUGUAAAUUUUGUUCGUCAAGGUGCAUCCAUUGCAUCGGCAAUGAUAGUAAUACAGCAUACCGAUCAAACUUGUCCAAAAGUAACAUACUUUAUGCAAUUAUAAGCAGAAGUUAUAAGCAACAAACAUGAAGAUGUACUGGCAAAAUAUGGUGCUAUAUCAGCUCAAGGUAUUCUGGAUACUGGAGCUUUGUUGUUGGGCUGCGGAACCUUCGAUUUAAUAAAUUCAAGUGAGUGUUACUUGUUGUGUGUUAGGUGGUCGUGUUGUGUUUUGUAGGCAGCUAUACCCACGGCGUUGUAACGAUCAAAUUUUUAAUUAAUAAAAUUUUGGUCGUUACAAAUAUAUGGAGUCAUACUGUAGAUUCUGCGGUGAUGAGAUUAAUGAUCAAUUACACAUAUGCUGUUAGAAUGCCAAGCGCUAAUGCACUAACGGAAUAAACUCCUAGGAAUGUAUAUCCUUAUGGAAGAUGCAAUAAAUAUCUGUAAAAUCAGCCUAGCCUACGACAUCUGUAAAAAAUAAUCUCUCCAGAAGCAACGAAUAUGUUUUCUCCAGCAACUUAAGCAGACAACUUAAACAUGAUGUGUUUCUGCAGUGAUUAAGCAUAAUGUGCCACGGAAGGAUCUGCAGUUUUUUUUACCUUUUGGAAGUAAAAAAUCUAUAUCUUACUUGAGUUUUGGUCCCCGCAGAGCCCGCAAUAUUGUAUCAGAUACAUCGCAA
Teleopsis dalmanni is the source of this 824-nucleotide long non-coding RNA. RefSeq lists it as uncharacterized. Lineage: Eukaryota; Metazoa; Arthropoda; Insecta; Diptera; Diopsidae. The transcript is spliced from 3 exons. The record is from RefSeq and is a predicted model, not a curated record.